Molecule: ribosomal RNA, 474 nt
Filed under: uncultured bacterium
Lineage: Bacteria
Description: bacterial SSU rRNA
Rfam family: Bacterial small subunit ribosomal RNA
Source: RNAcentral
AGAGUUUGAUCAUGGCUCAGAUUGAACGCUGGCGGCAGGCCUAACACAUGCAAGUCGAACGGUAACAGGAAACAGCUUGCUGUUUCGCUGACGAGUGGCGGACGGGUGAGUAAUGUCUGGGAAACUGCCUGAUGGAGGGGGAUAACUACUGGAAACGGUAGCUAAUACCGCAUAACGUCGCAGGACCAAAGAGGGGGACCUUCGGGCCUCUUGCCAUCGGAUGUGCCCAGAUGGGAUUAGCUAGUAGGUGGGGUAAAGGCUCACCUAGGCGACGAUCCCUAGCUGGUCUGAGAGGAUGACCAGCCACACUGGAACUGAGACACGGCCCAAACUCCUACGGGAGGCAGCAGUGGGGAAUAUUGCACAAUGGGGGAAACCCUGAUGCAGCGACGCCGCGUGAGCGAAGAAGUAUUUCGGUAUGUAAAGCUCUAUCAGCAGGGAAGAAACUGACGGUACCUGACUAAGAAGCACCGG